UUUAUGGAGAGUUUGAUCCUGGCUCAGGAUGAACGCUGGCGGCGUGCCUAAUACAUGCAAGUCGAGCGAACGGACGAGAAGCUUGCUUCUCUGAUGUUAGCGGCGGACGGGUGAGUAACACGUGGAUAACCUACCUAUAAGACUGGGAUAACUUCGGGAAACCGGAGCUAAUACCGGAUAAUAUUUUGAACCGCAUGGUUCAAAAGUAAAAGACGGUCUUGCUGUCACUUAUAGAUGGAUCCGCGCUGCAUUAGCUAGUUGGUAAGGUAACGGCUUACCAAGGCAACGAUGCAUAGCCGACCUGAGAGGGUGAUCGGCCACACUGGAACUGAGACACG
RNAcentral lists this ribosomal RNA (338 nucleotides) under Staphylococcus aureus. RNAcentral's name for it is "bacterial SSU rRNA". It matches the Rfam family "Bacterial small subunit ribosomal RNA", at positions 1 to 328 of the family's 1533-position model. Lineage: Bacteria; Bacillati; Bacillota; Bacilli; Caryophanales; Staphylococcaceae. The record is from RNAcentral.